Long non-coding RNA from Seriola aureovittata, 336 nucleotides. RefSeq lists it as uncharacterized. The transcript has 3 exons. Lineage: Eukaryota; Metazoa; Chordata; Actinopteri; Carangiformes; Carangidae. The record is from RefSeq and is a predicted model, not a curated record.
CGGAGCGCAGAUCGCGUCCGGUCUGCAAAUCCCAGGCUGUGACAGCGCAUUGUUCUGUGGAGUUGUGUGUCCGUCAUUAGUAUCUGUUGUUGAUGUUUUGGCCACUUGGUGAAGCAGAAAACCUGGCAACACAUCAUCAUAUAAAGUGAUGGCUUUCUCUACAUAACAUGGUACAACUCUCAGCACUUUUUCCCCUCCGUCUGGAAGGAAAGGUAAAUGAGUCACGGCACAAUGACAUUGUGCUGUCUCUCCAUUGUACACACAAUAAGACAAAAUUAGUAAAAAAUAAGACGAAAUUAAAUUGUAAUAAAAAUCAAAUUGGCAACAAAAUGGAAC